GACGAACGCUGGCGGCGGGCCUAACACAUGCAAGUCGAGCGCACAGUUCGGGGUGUGCGGCGGACGGCGGAGUAAGGCGUGGGGAGGUGCCCUUGUGUACGGACUAGCUUCGGGAAAGUGAGAGUAAUGCCAUAUAGGCCCUUAGGGGGAAAGAUUUAUCGGAAUAGGGUCGGCCCUCGUUGGAUUCGGUAGUUGGUGGGGUAAUGGCGUACCAAGCGGCCGAUCCAUAGCUGGUUGGAGAGGAUGAUCAGCAACACUUGGACUGCGACACGGCCCAGAAUCCUACGGGAGGGAGCAGUGGGUAAUCUUAGACAAUGGGGGCAACCCUGAUCUAGCCAUGCCGCGUGAGUGAUGAAGGCCUUAGGGUUGUAAUGCGCUCUCAGCUGGGAAGAUAAUGACGGUACCAGCAGAAGAAGCCCCGGCUAACUCCGUG
RNAcentral lists this ribosomal RNA (433 nucleotides) under uncultured bacterium. Its description in RNAcentral is "partial 16S ribosomal RNA". It matches the Rfam family "Bacterial small subunit ribosomal RNA", at positions 28 to 507 of the family's 1533-position model. The record is from RNAcentral.